Trichechus manatus latirostris (Florida manatee) is the source of this 2151-nucleotide long non-coding RNA. RefSeq lists it as uncharacterized. NCBI's taxonomy places the organism in Eukaryota, Metazoa, Chordata, Mammalia, Sirenia, Trichechidae. The transcript has 3 exons. The record is from RefSeq and is a predicted model, not a curated record.
CCUUGUCCUCCCUAUUCCCGCCUCCUUUCCCUCCCGAGGCCUCUGACAUUUACAGUAACCUUUCCAGUUUCUGAAGAUACAGUUACAGCGCCGAGCACCAUCGCCUUUACCAGGAAAGGUUAGACGGUCACCACCUUGCUCAAAACUACUUGCAUCCCCUGUCGUUGCCUGCUAUUCUCGUCUCGGACUGGCGGGCGCUUCUCGCUGACUCGGAACCCAACGCUUUGGGGCAGGAGCGGCGGGGGUACCCACCCACAGGAAUGACUACGUACUCAGAGAGGUUGUUGUGAGGAUUAAAUAAAACAACUUACUUGCCCAUCUAUAAAUACUGUUGAAGGAAUGUGUUUCUGGAUAUUGUUCACAACAUGUACUGAGAAGGCAAUGAAAGAACAGGAAAAGGAAGAUUUGGGGACUAUGAGGUAAAUGGUGUUAGGGUGGAGGGACCUUGCUUCCCUUACUUAAUACGGGAUAUCCUUGGAGCAGGGAUGACUUGUCAGAGAAACAUCUUUGGGUCACUUUUUAAUAUGCCAUAACUUUCAUGUUACAAAAAAGUCCUUUAAUUAUGAUGGGCUUAAAUGAUGGUUCUUCCCUUGUUUGUACUGUCCAAUUCUGAAUGAUCAUGAAACAGCAGUAUGAAUAAAUUGUCCUUUUCCAUCCAGCAGUGUACGAUCUUUUGGGGGAGGAGAUAAGACACAAGAAAUACAUACACAUAAAAAGAACUGAGUUAGAAAAAGUGCUGAGUUCAGAGAAGGGAGAUAACACUCUGUACUAGGGAAGGAAGAGGUAGAACUUGAAUUGUGUCUUGAAGAGUGGAUAGCAUGUGAAAAGAGAAGAGGGAGCCUACUUUCAGGUGAGGGGAACAGAGGGGAGCGGUAAGGAAGAGGAAUGGACAGGACUAUUUUUUUAGAGCUGGGUACUUAGCCACUUAACAGUCUUUGUUACACAAAAUAUUUAAAUCAAGUUGUUCAGGAGCUUCUCUUUCUCUCAAGAGAGAAUGUUCUUGCUAAAGGUAAAGUCUUUUUUCCUUUUUUAACCAAAUCAAAUGACCACAGAGCAUUGAAGACUAAAAAGGAAAACAUUCUCCCUUUUCACAAUAAUGUUUCCUUUGGUAAACAAGGUUAUAUAGGGAAGAGUGAUAUGUUGUCUUGGGAAGAGUGAUUCUUUAAAUAUUUAUCCAGCACCUACUAGGUUCUGGGCCCUGUUCAAAGCUUUCUCAGCAGCGAACAAAACAAAGUUUCUGUUCUCACAGAGCUUAUCUUUUAGUGGAGGGAGAUAAAUGAUAAAUAAAUACAUGUCAGGUGAAGGUAAGUACUCUGAAGAAAAAUAAAACAUGGUAAAGGAAGACAGCGCUAGAAGGUAGGCUGCUUUUUUUGGUGAGGUGAUUAGGAAGGCCUCUCUGAUAAACUUCAUUUGGAGACUGAGUGAAGUGAGGGAGUGAACCACGCAGAUAUCUGUGCAAAGACUUCCAGGCAGAGGAAGAGUUAAAUGUAAAGAAUAAACAUAGCUAAUCAUUUAACACUGGAAAAUUAUGUUCCAAAUAAACAUAGUAUAAACUUUGUACAACAACAACAAAAAACCAAACCCAUUGCUGCUGAGUCAAUUCCAGCUCAUACAAAGGACCCCAAAAUGCUAUGAAAUUUUACAUAUACCAAACUUGUUGCCAUCGAGUCGAUUUCAACUCUUAGAGACCCAAUAGGACAGAGGAGAACUGCCCCACAGAGUUUCCAAGGAGCGCCUGGUGGAUUCGAACUGCCAACUUUUUGGUUAGCAGCUGUAGCUGUUAACCACUGUGCCACCAGGGCUCCAAUUAUAAAUUUAUCUUGGAUAGUGAGAAUGGUACAAUAAGCAUUGCUCAAAUACUUAAAUCAAUAAAUUUUUUGUACUCUUGGACUUUAGAAGAGCUUUCAGGAGAAUGCUUUGAGUGGGCUACAUCUCUAAGAACAGUUACGCUGAAAAGUUUGGGCUGAUCCAUUCUUUCUCGCCCCCUAAAUUCCUCUGAAGUCCACACAGACAGUCAUUCUGUUGACUUUGAGCUGUCUUGAGAGUUGGGAUUCACCUUUUAAAAAUGGCUACGGAGCAUCUUUAGUAAAUAUUUGAGGGUUCUUCAAAGUCUUCAGAGUCCCUAGAUGGUGCAAAUGGUUAACAUGUUUG